Long non-coding RNA from Taeniopygia guttata (zebra finch), 7297 nucleotides. RefSeq lists it as uncharacterized. The record is from RefSeq and is a predicted model, not a curated record. Lineage: Eukaryota; Metazoa; Chordata; Aves; Passeriformes; Estrildidae.
UCCCCCCUCCGCGCCUUCCCCGACGCCGCGCCCCUCCCGGUGAGCGCGGCCCCCCGAGAGCGCCGCCAGCAGGGUGGGCGAGGGGGGGGCGCCCGUCCCGGGGGGGCCGCGGCGGAGGCGGGGGUCUCACGGUGUGGCCCCCCGUUCGUCCCCCUCCCCGUUCCCCCCUUCCAGCAGUGGUCGCGCCCGGCCGGCGGGUCACGUGGCGGCGGGUGCUGUCGGUGACGUGGGGGGCGCGCGGGCGCGGAGCAGCGCGCGCGGCGCGGACCGAGCAGCGGCGGCGGCGGCGGGAGAGGAAAACGGGGGGUCCCGGGCACGGCUCCGGGCGGUGCAAACACACAUCACACCCCCCUGCCGCCGCCAGCCUCCGCUUCUGGGGGUGGUUUUUUUUGUUUGAUUUUUUUUUUGCUUUUUUUUUUUUUAUUUUAUUUUUCUCCCAAACCUCUCCGAAAACGAAGAAAUCUUGGAAAAAAAAUCGCGCCUUUUAUUUAUAUAUAUAUAUAUAUACAUAUAUAUGUAUGUAUAUUUAAUUAUAAUUUAUUUAUUUUAUUAUUUAUUUUGGGGAGGGGGGUCACUUUCGCCUUUCUAAAACACCCUCCCCCCUCUAAAAAAUACCCCAAACCAACCAAACAACCCAGCGAGCAAAGCCAGGAGCCAGCUGCAUUGUUCUGGAUUUUUACUUCUUUUUCUUUUAAUUUUUUUUUUUCCCGCAUUCAGCUUCUUUUUAAAAUAAUUUUUUUGCAGACAGCCACACUCGGCUCACGGCCUCCAAUGGGAUUUACUGUUGGGGAAAGAAGCUUUUUCCUUAAAGACAGUUCCUCAUGAACUCCCCAUAUUCACUUUUGGUUUUAUUUUUAAUUUUUUUUUCUUUUUUAUUUCUUUGCCAGAAUUCUCCAGACUAAAAAAAAAAAUAUACAAAAACAUUCUGAUGAUUUUUUUCUUCUUUUAUUUUUUUUCCAUCCGUGUUCUCUUUUCCUUUCCAGGACACUCAAGUGGUGGGUUAAUUCUGUGUAGCUGUUUUGUUAUUGUUGCAAAAUAACCUGUAAGUCUAUAAAUAUUCUGUUUGUAUGGAAUUGUUGUACUGUGCUGGGGAUGCGAAAUCGCUUUGGCUUUUCUGGAGAGGGAUUUUAUUUCUGCACUUUUUGCGUCUUGCUGGGAAAAGGCCUUUGCUGGGAGCUGGGAGGGGGGAAUAAUGCAAAGCCUUGCAGUCAGUGUCUCGGGUGGGUUUCGCAGGGGGUGCAGAGGAGGGGACUGUCACCCCAACUUCCCCUCUCCCCUGUGGAGAUGCAGCUCCGCGGAUGUAAAUCUAUGGAGAUUCCUGUGACUGUCCCCCAGCCUGGAGUGUUUAUUCUUUGGGGGCCUGCAGCAGGGCUUGGGUUUAGGGGUGGUUCAGGUCGCUCAUUUCGCUUUCCCGGUCGGGUUUUUGGGCUGCGAGCUGCCGCUCGGGGUGGUGGGGAGCGGGUGAAGGCACGCUCUGCGCUCUGAAGGCAUUCCCGGGCCCUGGUGAUUAAUAGAAAUUUGUUUACGAGAAUAACCACCGCAGGUCACGGUGCCCUCGGUCCACUGGUGCAGUUGCUCGGAGCUACUGAUUCCAGCACUGGCGAGCCCGCGGAGCGGCCGCCUUGGACGCAAAGUGGCCGGGUUCUGCCUUUAUUUUGAUUUCUCAGCUGAGCUCUUGAACCGAAACAUUUUAAAGCAAGGAGAUGGGGGGGGGGGGGGGGGUGGUGUAAUAAAUUAGGAAGAAAGCCCUUCUGCUAAUACGACAAGCAAGACAGGGAUGGUACUCCCGAGGCACUUGAGGUGGUACAGAUAUGCUGGAGAGACGGCUUCCCUGUAGCUAAAACGCAAUACGGGAUUCCCAGGGAGUGAGUGCAGCUGGAGCUGUGUGACUUGUGCGACUCCGAUCCCGGCCCCGGGCAGGGAGGGGGCUCCCGGGUCUGCAGGUGACCGAAGGAGGAUCGGACCCAAGAGUAGCCACUCUGUUCCGGGAUUUUGGGUCUUGUUUUUUUUUUUUUUUUUUUCUUUUUCCCCAGCCAUGAAACCCAAAGGAAGGGGUGGUGUUGGAGGCGACGGAUCUGUUCUGUUUGUCAUUUCUCCGCAGCGUGUGACGCUUUCGCUUUAGCCGGAGCCCAGCGAGCCCAGCGGCCGCGGGACGCUCGGGAGCAGCAGCGGCAGGGCUGCCGCUUGGGGGGUUUUUGGUGGGGUCCCGAGGUCGAGCCCAGCUUCCGUUCAAGUAGCACUCCGACGGGAGAGAUUUCUCACUCUGCCUGGCCACAGCCAAGCCGGGCUUGCAUCAGAGUUUCCAUCCUAACCCGCCUCGUUGCGGGGACAUAGGGAGCAGCCAGCAGCAUCCCUUUCAGACUGGGAGCUGAGCGGCCUGGGCGCCUUUGCUGAGUUUUUGGCCUUUCUGCUCUGGUGUCAUACCUUCUACUCCCUCGCUGUCACUCAGGGCCCGGCUGCAGCUACCCACGGGCUCUUACCACCCGCCUCUGCUCCCCACUGCUUCCUGCUGCCCCAAAAGCAGCAGCAGUCCCUGUGCUGCCUCGCUGGGGACUUCAGGGUGCUGGGGAUGGAGUCAUUUUUCUGGGAGCCAUCUCCCACCAUUGGCCAGAGGGAUCCUUGCUGAGUGAGGCCUUUGACACCCUCUUCAUUUAUGCGUCCCAGUUCUGGGGACGAGCACGGCUGCCGCUGGCAGUGGUGGUGGCUGCCAGGGUGGCAAUGUCCCGCUGGGACAGCUUCCCCUGCCUCCGCAAGCCGACAGCAAGUGUUUUCUCUUUGGGGGAGAACGGCGGCCCCGUGGUGGGGAGGGCUGCUGGUGGGAGUGUGCAAAGCCACCGGCAGUCCCAUGUCGGCUGCGGGACGUUCCUCAGCGGCCCCGGGCUCGGUGUGUCUCCUGCACACCCACGAGGUGCCCGUGCUGCACGUGGAGGAGCAGCAGCUCGGCCCUGCAUGUGGGAGGCUGUGGCAAUCCUGCUCGGGGGUCAGCCCCACGCACCCCUCUCUCAAAAACACCCUCUACGCUGCAGAGAGCUCCUCACCCAGGCAAGGGUUUGAACCCCCAAGUGCCACCCCUGAAAGUGGUUGGCAGUGCUGGAACAGGGGUGAUGCUGCUGGGAAAUUGUCCCCCUUGGAGUUGGCAGGGGUAUUUCUGGCCAUGCAGGAGCGGCUCCAAGGAGCAGGGGCAGAGGCAGGAGCAUUGCCACAGGUGCCUUGCACCCUCCCACAGACUGUCCCUCUGCAGCUUCUUCAUCUCCUCCCCUGGCAAAGCUCCUGGGAUGAAAAACAACCCCUCUGCCUGUGUGCUGGCAUGCAGCACACAGAGCAGUGUGAAAUUAUUCAGCCGUCCCUGGGAGCUGCAGUUGGAUGUUGAAGGGCCUGGGAGCUGGAGGUGCUACUUGGCAGCGAGGGGAGUCCCCGGGCUUGGGUCGUUUCCCCCCAGGGGACACAGAGCAGGUUUUUAUGGUAUAUCGAGGCCAGGGCGUAUUUUUCCCAGGUGAACCGCACCCCUGGAAAGAAAUGCCUUGUCUUCUACAAAACACUGCUUAAAUAAACAGUACCCCACUAUAAUUUUUUCUUUAGAAAUUAACUCCUUCAGGCCAUAAGGCUUCCCCAUCCUCACACAAAAAUAGCUGCUAGGACUUAUAAAGGGAAAAUAAAAAUAUGUCUAAGAGAGAAAAGUUUAGCCUGACAGAAGAGAGCCUAUGAACCUCUCCCCUUCCCCGUGGUCCUCGAGGAUGAGUUUUGGAAGCAGCCUGCCCGUUUUGGAGCUGGGUGCCACUGCAUGAACGUUACUUUAAAGGAGUUUUGUGCAUAUUAAUGUGAAUGCAGCGAGGCCAGGCUGCGCAGGGACAGCAGAGUCCCUGCCUGAAUUCAGCUAUCUUGUUUUCUAAUCUAACCUACUUUUUUUCUUUUACUUUUUUUUUUUUUUUUUUUGGUCAGAGGCCGGUGCUUUGCAAGAACCUGUUCUCAGUGCAAUCUCAGAGCUUUUUGUGGGUGUCUGAUUUCUGUAACACGUUUUGGUUUCCAGUAUGAAUGUAAUGUACAGAGAACAUCAUGACACUGCUCUAGGUGUAUGUGAUCUUAUCUACCUGACAUUUAAGGUUUUUUUAAACCGUCCAAUUCAUCUGAUUUGCAUAAAGAUCACAUGAUUUUACUUUUUUUCCUCCUUUUUUUUCAUGCAUCAUCAUAACAAACUGCUAAGGUUUACCAGGCUGUUUUGUAUCUGGCAGCAUGAACAUGGGGCCUGUUUCUCUCGUCUUCAUUCCUCCCUGGUGAAGGUUGGGGAUGGGAAAGGUGGCACUUGGAGGGGACUUGUGAUCCCAGCCAGCCACUGAAAUCCUUAAUAAACAAAUGUGUACAGUUUAACUUCCCAGAAAACAAAGCAGCUGAGCAUGCAUGCCAUGCAGUUGUUGUUAAUUUAAAUAGUUGAGACUUCUUUUUAUUGAUAAGGAAACUCCUCUGGAACAGCCCCCCGGAUCCCAGCAGGCUCCCCCUGCCGCAGCCGUCCUCAUUACAAAACAAGGCCGCAAUUAAAAUAAACUCCAAGAGCUAAACAAACUGCUGCCUCUUGCUGGUCAUGUGUUAGCUUUAGCCUUUAACGCAGAACAAAAUGUUUUCCUGGGUAUCGGAAGAGGCAUGGGCUCCAGCUGGGAGGAGAAGAGAGAGCAGCAGCUGGGCCUAUGGGAAUGGCAGGGAGUGGGGUGCUGCAAUGCUCAUCGGGGCUCCUUUCUCUUGCUUUCUUUUUAUUUUUUAUUGUUGUAAAUUUGAUGUUUGUGAUCUAACUCGGUCUUUACUGCAAGGGAAAGGGCUGGAAGUGGAAAAACUUGAAUGUUGUGGUAAAACCUGGCUGUCCCAGCACACCCUGGGCACAUCUGACUGUACCUCACCCAGCCUGGCUCCCACUGAGCCCACCAGCCACAAGCCCCUGGCCCAAUAUGUUUUAAUUCCUUCACGUCUUGUGCUGAGGCUUUAGGUGGAUGCAAAUACCACUUGGCAUCUGCCAGCAUCUGGAUGGGCACUGGGAAGGGAAGCACAGGGUGCCCUGGAGGACAGGACCAGGGGGAUGAGGAGAUGGAUGGAGGGAAGGGCAGCCAGGGGCUCCCGUAUGUGGAGGGGUGUGUGGCUGGCUGGCCCUCAAUGCCUCCAUGCCAUGCCAUGGCUCCCCACACGGCCUGAGAAUACAUUUUAACCCCUGUGCCAUGUCCACGUGUCCUCUUUGGGGUAAUGAAUUGCACUCAGAUGAAUACUCUGCAAGAAGAGCUGCUCUGAUGAUGGAGGGGUGCACAUCCAUGCUGUGUUCACGUCAACCCCCAGGAUAAUAUUCUGGCAAAAUUGCCCAAAUAACUGGCAUGUCUGCUUGGUGCUUGCUGCCAGGAGACAGUGUAGACUUGCCUGUCAAAAAUUACUUUCUUGCCACAGAGGAGCAAGAUAUCUGCCUGUCUCCUGUCUGAUCUCCCAAACUGGCUGAGUGUAAACAGCAGUUCUCGGAAGGUGGGUAAGGACAUUCCACUCAGCACUUACAGCCCCACCGUCAGUUCUGCCCCAUAUUAGAUUUAAAAGAGAAACUUCAUUGAGAAGUUUUCAAGCUGCAGAUAAUUACCUCCCACCCCCACCCCAGACCCAGCUGAUUUUUAACCAGUUAUGGACCUAAGCCUGUCUGUGCCUCAGUGAGGCUGUGCCGGGCAAGGAGCCUCCUGCCAGGGGACGUGGUGGGGGAGCCUUCACCGGAUCAGCAUCCCCAGCCCAAUCCCUUGCUUGUCCCCAAAUCUCGUCAUCCUGGCACCCACCAAACUGAAGUGUGUGACCAGUGGAAGCUGAAAAUCCCUGGCCCGUGGCUGAGCAGCACUAUUGACCUCUUUCUUUCCAGCAGACCUGUCAGCGUUCAGAUGUUACAAUGAAAAAAACCUCACUAACCUCUACAGAUACUGCUCUGAUUAGGAAUUGUGCUGAGGUACUUCAAACCCAAUGUUCUCAUCGGCUCUUCUGAAUUUUGCAAUUCAUUUGUCGUUCCUUCUACUUCAAUAAAAACACUUUUCAUCAGAAAACUUGAUACUUUUUUCCUUCCGAGCCUCCCUGCAAAUUGCCUCUCUCCCUCCAGACAAGUUUCGAGGAUCAACAAGUUAACCUGAAAGAUUACAAAGGUACAAGUGGGCUGCUUGAGAGGUGAAUCAUUAAACGUAAGGUGAAGUAUACGGCUGCAGAAGGUUUCAAUUAAAGUGACAGUCGAGGCAGCCUUUGCUUGCCUGGGAAGGUUCGGUUUUAUCGUCAGAGCCGUGCUGGGAGCUGCGUCCAUCCCGGGCAGGGAGGUUUGGUUCCAGUGCCUGCAUUCUGCAUUCCCAGGUCUGCUGCUGCCCCAGUCCUCACUCCUGAAGCAACUCCACUGGUUUCAGCAUGAUAAAUUCGACUGUGACAGCAUUAAAAUAUGGGAAAGGAGCCAAAUCUCCUUUAUAUCCCCAUUCAGGCUGGAAUCAAGGAGCCUGCCUCGGAACUGCCUUCACCCAAUGCUCCCGUUGCCACGUCCUGAGGAAGAGCAGGAUCAGGCCCACAACCUUCCCCAUUCCUUCCCCAAAUCCUGCUCGCUCCUACUUAUUUUUAAUGUUUUUAAAGUAGUUUUGUUUUAAUAUUACAGUAUAUUUAAUGAGCAGCCCCAGGGUGGAGGGAGAAAUGUGAGAUCCUUGCCGUGUGGUGGAAAACCUGCCCUGCUGCUGCCUUGUCCCCACAUCCCCGCGUCUGCUCGGCAUGGGGCACCCCCGUUCUCCUGCCAAACGUCUCAUGGGUGCCCAGGGACUGUUUGCCCUGACACAGAGCCUGUGUCCAUGCACAGAGGGUAAUGCACAGACAACCAGUCCACGGGCAGCUGCCCUGCAUGGAGGUCCCGCAUGCUUGGAAGGAGUACGUGCAAUGCUGGGCUUUUUUUCCCUGGCUUUUUGGAGUACAGACAGCACGGUGGUGAGGCAGGAGGUAGAAAGGGGGCAGGCUAGAUAUUGUCCUGACAUGGAGCAAUGCUGUGACGUUUUGUGGCACUUUACUGAUUUAAAUUUUAAGUAUUUCUGAGUUUUACAUUUUGCUCUGACAUAUUUCCAUAUGGCAGCCCCGAGUGUGGAUGACAUCCUCUUCACAAGGAUGCUCCAGCGAUUGGGUUAAUUCCCUCCUACUAAUUCCUUACAUAAUCAUGUGGGCUCAGAUCCUCAAAAGUAUUUGUGUGCCUGCCUCCCUUGGAAAUCAGAGAGUUUAAUUGUCUGCUAAAAUUAUUGUUUUGUUUUGAAAGCAGAGCAGGAAAUAAACUUGGAUUUUAUGA